AAGUAGCUAUUAUCAAAGAGAAAUUUUGUUUUAUUUUUCUUUCUCAAUGUAGAUUGAGGAAUUGUUUGUUUUAGUUAUCCAUCCUAUAUAGUGCUUUAUAUCUGAAUUUGUGUGAUUGAUUAUUAUAGUUAUUCACUGAAAGAGAACAAGGACAUCCUAACUGGCUGGGAAGAUGUCAUUGCUGGAAUAGCCAAAAGUCUUAUUAAAGAGCAAAGCCCUAAACAAUUAUAUAUCAUCCGUGGGAAGCUCAAGAAUCUUAUUGAGCAUGAUGUUUCACCAGAUUUUAUAUUCAGCACCCUUUUUGAGGAACUGAAGAAACAUUUGGAUGAACAUCUGAAAGCCAAGGCUGAAUUCCUCU
Zingiber officinale is the source of this 358-nucleotide long non-coding RNA. RefSeq lists it as uncharacterized. NCBI's taxonomy places the organism in Eukaryota, Viridiplantae, Streptophyta, Magnoliopsida, Zingiberales, Zingiberaceae. The record is from RefSeq and is a predicted model, not a curated record. The transcript has 3 exons.